GCUUGCUCUCUGGAUCAGUGGCGAACGGGUGAGUAACACGUGAGCAACCUGCCCCGGACUCUGGGAUAACAGCUGGAAACAGCUGCUAAUACCGGAUACGAGCUGCGAAGGCAUCUUCAGCAGCUGGAAAGAAUUUCGGUCCGGGAUGGGCUCGCGGCCUAUCAGCUAGUUGGUGAGGUAAUGGCUCACCAAGGCGUCGACGGGUAGCCGGCCUGAGAGGGUGACCGGCCACACUGGGACUGAGACACGGCCCAGACUCCUACGGGAGGCAGCAGUGGGGAAUAUUGCACAAUGGGCGAAAGCCUGAUGCAGCAACGCCGCGUGAGGGAUGACGGCCUUCGGGUUGUAAACCUCUUUUAGCAGGGAAGAAGCGAAAGUGACGGUACCUGCAGAAAAAGCGCCGGCUAACUACGUGCCAGCAGCCGCGGUAAUACGUAGGGCGCAAGCGUUAUCCGGAAUUAUUGGGCGUAAAGAGCUCGUAGGCGGUUUGUCGCGUCUGCUGUGAAAACCCGAGGCUCAACCUCGGGCCUGCAGUGGGUACGGGCAGACUAGAGUGCGGUAGGGGAGAUUGGAAUUCCUGGUGUAGCGGUGGAAUGCGCAGAUAUCAGGAGGAACACCGAUGGCGAAGGCAGAUCUCUGGGCCGUAACUGACGCUGAGGAGCGAAAGGGUGGGGAGCAAACAGGCUUAGAUACCCUGGUAGUCCACCCCGUAAACGUUGGGAACUAGUUG
RNAcentral lists this ribosomal RNA (730 nucleotides) under bacterium SCSIO13237. RNAcentral's name for it is "bacterial SSU rRNA". It matches the Rfam family "Bacterial small subunit ribosomal RNA", at positions 78 to 822 of the family's 1533-position model. The record is from RNAcentral.